This 329-nucleotide unclassified non-coding RNA is filed under the name soil metagenome. RNAcentral's name for it is "partial contains 5.8S ribosomal RNA, internal transcribed spacer 2, and large subunit ribosomal RNA". The stretch from base 1 to 120 matches the Rfam family "5.8S ribosomal RNA", at positions 35 to 154 of the family's 154-position model. The record is from RNAcentral.
GAUGAAGAACGUAGCGAAAUGCGAUAAGUAAUGUGAAUUGCAGAAUUCAGUGAAUCAUCGAAUCUUUGAACGCACAUUGCGCCCCCUGGUAUUCCGGGGGGCAUGCCUGUUCGAGCGUCAUUACAACCCUCAAGCUCUGCUUGGUAUUGGGCCCCGCCAGUUCUGGCGGGCCCUAAAGUCAGUGGCGGUGCCUUCUGGCUCCGAGCGUAGUAAUUCUUCUCGCUCUGGAGACCCGGUUGUGUGCUUGCCAACAACCCCCAAUUUUUUAAGGUUGACCUCGGAUCAGGUAGGGAUACCCGCUGAACUUAAGCAUAUCAAUAAGCGGAGGA